GAAUUUUGGACAAUGGGCGAAAGCCUGAUCCAGCAAUGCCGCGUGCAGGAAGAAGGCCUUCGGGUUGUAAACUGCUUUUGUACGGAACGAAAAGCUUUGUGUUAAUACCCUGGAGUCAUUACGGUACAGUACGGAUAAGCACCGGCCAACUACGUCCCCGCAGCCGCGGUAAUGCGUAGGGUGCAAGCGUGAAUCGGAAUUACUGGGCGUAAAGCGUGCGCAGGCGGUUUUGUAAGACAGAGGUGAAAUCCCCGGGCUCAACCUGGGAACUGCCUUUGUGACUGCAAGGCUAGAGUACGGCAGAGGGGGGUGGAAUUCCGCGUGUAGCAGUGAAAUGCGUAGAUAUGCGGAGGAACACCGAUGGCGAAGGCAACCCCCUGGGCCUGUACUGACGCUCAUGCACGAAAGCGUGGGGAGCAAACAGG
This 425-nucleotide ribosomal RNA is filed under the name uncultured bacterium. Its description in RNAcentral is "partial 16S ribosomal RNA". It matches the Rfam family "Bacterial small subunit ribosomal RNA", at positions 359 to 776 of the family's 1533-position model. The record is from RNAcentral.